UGAACGCUGGCGGCGUGCUUAACACAUGCAAGUCGAACGAAGCACUUUAUUUGAUUUCCUUCGGGACUGAUUAUUUUGUGACUGAGUGGCGGACGGGUGAGUAACGCGUGGGUAACCUGCCUUGUACAGGGGGAUAACAGUUGGAAACGGCUGCUAAUACCGCAUAAGCGCACAGCAUCGCAUGAUGCAGUGUGAAAAACUCCGGUGGUAUAAGAUGGACCCGCGUUGGAUUAGCUAGUUGGUGAGGUAACGGCCCACCAAGGCGACGAUCCAUAGCCGACCAGAGAGGGUGACCGGCCACAUUGGGACUGAGACACGGCCCAAACUCCUACGGGAGGCAGCAGUGGGGAAUAUUGCACAAUGGGCGAAAGCCUGAUGCAGCGACGCCGCGUGAGCGAAGAAGUAUUUCGGUAUGUAAAGCUCUAUCAGCAGGGAAGAUAAUGACGGUACCUGACUAAGAAGCACCGGCUAAAUACGUG
Molecule: ribosomal RNA, 479 nt
Filed under: uncultured bacterium
Lineage: Bacteria
Description: partial 16S ribosomal RNA
Rfam family: Bacterial small subunit ribosomal RNA
Source: RNAcentral